GGCAGCCGCGGUAAUUCCAGCUCCAAUAGCGUAUAUUAAAGUUGUUGCAGUUAAAAAGCUCGUAGUUGAAUUUCGGGGUCAGUAGGUCGGUCGUGCCACUGGUAUGAACUGGUUUUACUGAUUCCUCCCUCUUGAAGAACUGUAAUGCCAUUAAUUUGGUGUUGCAGGGAAUCAGGACUGUUACUUUGAAAAAAAUUAGAGUGUUUAAAGCAGGCUUUAGCUUGAAUACAUUAGCAUGGAAUAAUAAAAUAGGACGUUUGAUCCUAUUUUGUUGGUUUCUAGGAUUGACGUAAUGAUUAAUAGGGAUAGUUGGGGGCAUUAGUAUUCAAUUGUCAGAGGUGAAAUUCUUGGAUUUAUUGAAGACUAACUACUGCGAAAAGCAUUUUGCCAAGGAUGUUUUCAUUAAUCAAGAACGAAAGUUAGGGGAUCGAAGACGAUCAGAUACCGUCGUAGUCUUAACCAUAAAACUAUGCCGACUAGGGAUCGGAUGAUGUUAAUUUUUUAAUGACUCAUUCGGCGC
Molecule: ribosomal RNA, 520 nt
Filed under: uncultured Glomus
Lineage: Eukaryota; Fungi; Glomeromycota; Glomeromycetes; Glomerales; Glomeraceae
Description: SSU rRNA
Rfam family: Eukaryotic small subunit ribosomal RNA
Source: RNAcentral